CAUGACACGUAGUUCGCUGAAAU
This 23-nucleotide microRNA is filed under the name Caenorhabditis brenneri. The record is from RNAcentral. Lineage: Eukaryota; Metazoa; Nematoda; Chromadorea; Rhabditida; Rhabditidae.